RNAcentral lists this ribosomal RNA (1465 nucleotides) under uncultured bacterium. RNAcentral's name for it is "bacterial SSU rRNA". It matches the Rfam family "Bacterial small subunit ribosomal RNA". The record is from RNAcentral.
AUUGAACGCUGGCGGCAGGCCUAACACAUGCAAGUCGAACGGUAACAGGAAACAGCUUGCUGUUUCGCUGACGAGUGGCGGACGGGUGAGUAAUGUCUGGGAAACUGCCUGAUGGAGGGGGAUAACUACUGGAAACGGUAGCUAAUACCGCAUAACGUCGCAAGACCAAAGAGGGGGACCCUCGGGCCUCUUGCCAUCGGAUGUGCCCAGAUGGGAUUAGCUUGUUGGUGGGGUAACGGCUCACCAAGGCGACGAUCCCUAGCUGGUCUGAGAGGAUGACCAGCCACACUGGAACUGAGACACGGUCCAGACUCCUACGGGAGGCAGCAGUGGGGAAUAUUGCACAAUGGGCGCAAGCCUGAUGCAGCCAUGCCGCGUGUAUGAAGAAGGCCUUCGGGUUGUAAAGUACUUUCAGCGGGGAGGAAGGGAGUAAAGUUAAUACCUUUGCUCAUUGACGUUACCCGCAGAAGAAGCACCGGCUAACUCCGUGCCAGCAGCCGCGGUAAUACGGAGGGUGCAAGCGUUAAUCGGAAUUACUGGGCGUAAAGCGCACGCAGGCGGUUUGUUAAGUCAGAUGUGAAAUCCCCGGGCUCAACCUGGGAACUGCAUCUGAUACUGGCAAGCUUGAGUCUCGUAGAGGGGGGGUAGAAUUCCAGGUGUAGCGGUGAAAUGCGUAGAGAUCUGGAGGAAUACCGGUGGCGAAGGCGGCCCCCUGGACGAAGACUGACGCUCAGGUGCGAAAGCGUGGGGAGCAAACAGGAUUAGAUACCCUGGUAGUCCACGCCGUAAACGAUGUCGACUUGGAGGUUGUGCCCUUGAGGCGUGGCUUCCGGAGCUAACGCGUUAAGUCGACCGCCUGGGGAGUACGGCCGCAAGGUUAAAACUCAAAUGAAUUGACGGGGACCCGCACAAGCGGUGGAGCAUGUGGUUUAAUUCGAUGCAACGCGAAGAACCUUACCUGGUCUUGACAUCCACGGAAGUUUUCAGAGAUGAGAAUGUGCCUUCGGGAACCGUGAGACAGGUGCUGCAUGGCUGUCGUCAGCUCGUGUUGUGAAAUGUUGGGUUAAGUCCCGCAACGAGCGCAACCCUUAUCCUUUGUUGCCAGCGGUCCGGCCGGGAACUCAAAGGAGACUGCCAGUGAUAAACUGGAGGAAGGUGGGGAUGACGUCAAGUCAUCAUGGCCCUUACGACCAGGGCUACACACGUGCUACAAUGGCGCAUACAAAGAGAAGCGACCUCGCGAGAGCAAGCGGACCUCAUAAAGUGCGUCGUAGUCCGGAUUGGAGUCUGCAACUCGACUCCAUGAAGUCGGAAUCGCUAGUAAUCGUGGAUCAGAAUGCCACGGUGAAUACGUUCCCGGGCCUUGUACACACCGCCCGUCACACCAUGGGAGUGGGUUGCAAAAGAAGUAGGUAGCUUAACCUUCGGGAGGGCGCUUACCACUUUGUGAUUCAUGACUGGGGUG